CUUAGUGUUCACAUAAAUUUGAAAACAAUUCAGGUAAGUGUCUAGUAAAAGCAACAGGAAUGUGUUUAAUUUUAGAAAAGUAUAUCGAGAAUGUGUGGUUGGCUUGUAUUUACCUUUCUGAUAAUUUUUAUUAUAGAAUUCUUUGUUCUUAAAUUGGCAUGUGCUCAUUUUUUUCUAGCUACACUCACUUCAAAUUGUCAUUUAACUGCAAGAACAUUAAAAUAAUUA
Molecule: long non-coding RNA, 228 nt
Organism: Perognathus longimembris pacificus (Pacific pocket mouse)
Lineage: Eukaryota; Metazoa; Chordata; Mammalia; Rodentia; Heteromyidae
Exons: 3
Source: RefSeq, a predicted model, not a curated record